This 200-nucleotide ribosomal RNA is filed under the name uncultured bacterium. Its description in RNAcentral is "partial 16S ribosomal RNA". It matches the Rfam family "Bacterial small subunit ribosomal RNA", at positions 29 to 256 of the family's 1533-position model. The record is from RNAcentral.
UGCGAACGCUGGCGGCAGGCCUAACACAUGCAAGUCGAACGGAUCCUUCGGGAUUAGUGGCGGACGGGUGAGUAACACGUGGGAACGUGCCCUUUGGUUCGGAACAACUCAGGGAAACUUGAGCUAAUACCGGAUAAGCCCUUCGGGGGAAAGAUUUAUCGCCAUUGGAGCGGCCCGCGUAGGAUUAGCUAGUUGGUGGG